GAUAAACGCUGGCGGCGUGCAUGAGACAUGCAAGUCGAACGAGUGCUCCCGGGCUUGCCUGGGAUCGCUAGUGGCGAACGGCUGAGUAACGCGUGGGUGACCUGCCCUGAAGUGGGGAAUAACUGCCCGAAAGGGUGGCUAAUACCGCAUGUGGUGACACGUUCGAUCGUGUGACCAAAGCCGCAAGGCGCUUCGGGAGGGGCCCGCGUCCGAUUAGCUCGUUGGUGGGGUAAUGGCUCACCAAGGCGACGAUCGGUAGGUGGUCUGAGAGGACGAUCACCCAGACUGGGACUGAGACACGGCCCAGACUCCUACGGGAGGCAGCAGUCGGGAAUUUUGCUCAAUGGGCGCAAGCCUGAAGCAGCAACGCCGCGUGAGGGAUGAAGGCCUUCGGGUUGUAAACCUCUUUUCUCAGGGACGAUGAUGACGGUACCUGAGGAAUAAGCCACGGCUAACUACGUGCCAGCAGCCGCCGUAACAC
RNAcentral lists this ribosomal RNA (481 nucleotides) under uncultured bacterium. Its description in RNAcentral is "bacterial SSU rRNA". It matches the Rfam family "Bacterial small subunit ribosomal RNA", at positions 28 to 526 of the family's 1533-position model. The record is from RNAcentral.